Cajanus cajan (pigeon pea) is the source of this 161-nucleotide non-coding RNA. The record is from Rfam. Lineage: Eukaryota; Viridiplantae; Streptophyta; Magnoliopsida; Fabales; Fabaceae.
ACACUUACUUAGAUAGGAUCAAUGGAUGAUCAUAUAGGUUUAUGGCCUAGAUUGAUGACUUUCAUUGCACUUGGGAGAGGUGUGAGUUUAAGAUCUCCUAAAGUAAGAGAAUCUACAUUAUAAUUUAUGAUAGUGGGGUCAUAUAUUUGUAUGGCCUCUUC